UAAAAAACACAUGAAAUCUCACCGGAGAAAAUCCAAGAAAACCGGCCAACUUCAAACCCUACGAUCUCGACGUCCAAAACCUUCAAACUAAGUACUCCAAGCUUCCUUGGGACCUUACUAAGCUCCCUGUAGGCUUAGAAUUCCCUGAAAACCAACAUUUCACGUGUGCAUGAACAUUGACAUCAAACGGUUUCGACGUGAUUUCAUGGUUUCCAGUUCUAAAAAUAGUACCAAUCGAUUCAUGAGAUAACAAGGAUGAAGGAACUCAGCUUUUUGUCGUCGAUCUGUGAAGUUUUGAGGGGUUUUGCUCUUGUCCGUACAAGUUCAAAAGGGAGGGAGAGAGAGUGAACUGAGAGGGAGGAAAGAGAGAGCACAAGGUGAGUAUGCUUGUCCCGUGUGUGUGUAUGGUCCACCCAAAACAAAUCACAAUCCAAAUUUCUUUAAGUCCCUAACCACACAAAAAUGUAUACCAUUUUAAUCCACUUAAAAUUUCCCAAGAACUUAAGAGAGUAUGCAAUAUUCAAAUAAACAUGUCACACAUACCUUAGCAACCGUUAAGGGCAAUUCCAUCAUUUCACAUCCAUGAUAAAUGAAAUUUCAGGACGGGCUGUGACAAUAUACCCUCCUUAUAGAAUUUCGUCCUCGAAAUUCAUACAACACUCACUCCACUAAUACUCAUAAAACAACCUUGGGUGCAUCUCUCUCAUUCGAUCUUCUGUCUCCCAAGUAGUUUCUUCCACUGAGUGGUUCCUCCACAAUACUUUUACCAAGCUCACUGUCUUAUUCCUUAGAACUUUGUCUUUCCAAUUCAAGAUAGUCACUGGUUCCACAUCAUACGUCAAAUCCGGAUUAAUCUCCAAAGGUUGAGGAGGAAUCACAUGUGAAGGAUCUUAAACAUAAUGUCGAAGCAUCGAGACAUGAAACACAUUAUGCACCUUAGAUAACUCCGGAGGCAACUCCAAUCUGUAAGCAACUUCACCAAUCAUUUUAGUGAUCUCAUAAGGUCCUAUAUGCCUAGGACUUAGCUUGCUUUUCUUUCCAAACCGCACUACACCUCUCCAAGGUGACAAUUUCAAGAAUACCAAAUUACCCACAUCAUAUACUCGAUCAGUGGCAUGUCUAUUUGCUAAACUCUUUUGUCGAUCCUGGGCCGCUUUCAGGUUAUUCUUAAUCACCUGAACAUUUUGAGUAGUCUCAUCCACAAUCUCUGGGCCCUCUAGAACUCUGUCGCCAACCUCUGACCAACACAAUGGCGUACGACAAGCUCUACCACAAAGUGCCUCAAAUGGUGACAUACCAAUGCUCGAAUGAAAACUAUUAUUGUAGGCAAAUUCCAUCAAGUCUAGGCGAUCAUGCCAAGAAUCACCAAAUUGUAACACUGAAGAUCUUAACAUAUCUUCUAAUGUCUGAAUAGUCCUCUCUGAUUAUCCAUCUGUUUGAGGAUGAUAAGCAGUGCUGUAAAGCAAUUUCGUACCAAAAGCUUCUUGAAAAGCUAUCCAAACUUAGAAGUAAAUCUUGGAUCUCGAUCAUAAAUAAUAUUCACUGGAACUCCAUGAUACUUCACAAUCUUCGUGAUGAACAACUUAGCCAAUUUAUUUAGGGGAUACUUUUCCCUCACUAGAAUGAAGUGUGCUGACUUGGUAAGCUGAUCUACAACCACCCAACACCAUUAAAUCCAUUAUGUGUACGUGGAAGCUUAUACACAAAAUCCAUAGUUAUAUUUUCCCAUUUCCACUGAGGAACAGGAAGUGGUUGCAUCCGUCCAAAAGGCUUCUUUCUUUCUGCUUUGACUUGCUGACAAACAAUACACCUACUUACAUAUUCUGCAAUUUCCCUUUUCAUACUCGGCCAAUAAUAAAAUGGUCGAAUGGUAUGGUACAUCUUAGUUCCUCCUGGAUGCAUCGCAUAAGCCAAACAAUGUGCUUCAUCCAAAAUUUCUUUCUUUAAUUCCUCAUUAUUCGGCACAUACAUUCUGUUCUCCUGCAUAAGCAUGCCAUCUGAUUCUCGAAUCUUGAGGUCUUUCUUUUUCCCUUCAUUUCUCAAUCGAAUCAUUUCUUGGAUCUCUUCAUCAACCAUCUGAGCUUCAAGUACACGAUCGACCAAAACUGGCCUGACUUGGAAACUAGCAAGAAAAGCUUAUCUUUGCUCUUCUAUCUCCAACUUUACCCCAGUAGCUCUCAAAUCUGCAAGAAGAGGAACACGACAAGCAUAUAAAGCAUUAAGUCGACCUUGAGGUUUCCUACUCAGUACAUCAACUACCACAUUUGCACGACCUGGAUGAUACUCAAUAGUGCAGUCAUAAUCACUUAGUAACUCCAUCCACCUUCGCUGACGAAGAUUAAGAUCAUGCUGAGUAAAAAGAUACUGAAGACUCUUAUGAUCCGUAAAGAUCUUACAUUUCUCACCAUAGAGAUAAUGCCUCCAAAUCUUCAAAGCAAAGACAAUGGCUGCCAACUCAAGAUCGUGAGUAGGAUAAUUCCUUUCAUGAAUCUUCAAUUGUCGAGAAGCAUAGGCGAUCACUCUAUUAUGUUGCAUCAAGACACAUCCCAAACCAUUCAAGGAAGCAUCACUGUAAAUCUCAAAGUUACCGCUAUCGUCAGGAAGUACCAAUACUGGAGCAUAAGUGAGGCAAUAUUUCAGCUGUUGUAAACUUUGCUCACAAUUCUCGUCCCACUCGAACUUAACAUCAUUCCUGGUUAACUUCGUUAGUGGUAAAGCAAUCAUAGAAAAAUCUUGAACAAACCGUCGAUAAUAACCUGCUAGACCAAGAAAACUCCAUACCUCAGUGACGGUUCGUGGUUGUUCCCAAUUCUCCACUGCUGCUAUCUUUUGAGGAUCUACUUGAAUUCCUUGUGCCAAUACUACAUGUCUCAAAAAUGCCACUUGAUUCAACCAAAACUGGCAUUUGCUAAACUUGGCAUACAACUGAUGUUCCCUCAAUUUCUUUAAUACCAAGUUAAGAUGUCGAAUAUGAUCUGCUUUCGACUUAGAGUAUACCAGAAUAUCAUCAAUAAAAACAAUGACAAACCUAUCAAGAUAUUGCUGGAAUACUUCAUUCAUUAACCUCAUGAAAGCUGCAGGUGCAUUAGUCAAUCCAAAUGGCAUCACCAAAAACUCAUAAUGUCCAUAACGGGUCCUGAAAGCCAUUUUAGGUACAUCUUCAUCUUUAAUCUUCAACUGAUAAUAGCCAAAUCUCAAAUCAAUCUUAGAGAACACACAUGCACCUUUAAGCUGAUCAAACAAGUCAUCGAUACGAGGCAAUGGAUAAUGGUUUUUAAUCGUUACCCAAUUCAAUUGCCUGUAAUCAAUACAUAAUCUCAAAGUUCCAUCUUUCUUUCUUACAAACAACACCGAAGCUCCCCAAGGUGAAGUACUAGGUUGAAUGAAACCUUUAUCAGUUAAUUCCUGUAACUAAAUUUUCAAUUCUCUCAAUGCAGCUGGAGCCAUUCUACAUGGAGUCAAAGAUAUAGGAUCCGUACCUAGAAGCAAAUCAAUAGAAAACUCCACAUCUCUAUCUGGCGGCAAUCCAGGCAAAUCAUCUGGGAAUACAUCAGGAUAGUGCCUAACUACUCCAACUUCCUCUACACUGCUAAGAAAAACAUCAUUUAACACCACAUGUGCUAAGUAUCCUUGAGAACCUUUUGAUAACAACUUUUUUGCUCUCAUGGCAGAAAUAACACCAUGUCUCACCCCACUUCUUUCACCCACAAAAGUAACUUCUGGUAGUCCAGGACGAUGAAAGGUAACUGAUUUCCCGUAACAAUCUAUAUGGGCACGAUUAUAAUGCAACCAAUCUGCCCCUAAAAUCACAUCAAAAUCCACAAUAUCUAACGGGAUAAGAUUAGCUGGCAUAACUACACCAUCUACCAUCACUGGACACCCUGGAUAAACAAUAUCAACAUAACAUUUGUCCCCUCUAGGCAUAGCAAACUCUAAAUCAAAUCCUAGAGGUGUAGGGUGAGGUUGUGUCAUUUGAGCAAAUGUAUGAGAAAUCACAGAAUGUGUAGCACCACAAUCAAUCAAAACUCUAGCAAAGUGACCAAGGAUGUUUAACGUACCCAUAAUCGAGUCCGGAUGAUUCUGAGCAUCUUGCAGUGAGAUGCGAUUAACACGUCUAUGAGCUUGUUGUCGUCCUCCACGACCUCUAUUACCUUGAUUACCUAGCCCCUGAGAAGUACGUCUCUGUCCUAUCUGGCUAGACUGCCUAUACGAUCCUGCACUGCUAGCAGCAACCUCUCCCUGUCAGGGCUGACCUCUCUGAUACCACUGAGAUCCACUAGCUGGCAUGGAAGGAUCCUGGGAAUACUGAUACUGUCCGGAAGCAUAGGGAGCAACAUCACCCUGAUAGUGGUAAGCACCACCACGACCCGCCUGACCAUAACUGCCUGAUCCAAAGUUCUGCUGAAUCGGCGCUUAUGUGGCAUAGGAGACUGCUGAGGCCUCUGUUGACUUUGGGGACACUGAGCAUCUCUAUGUCCCAACUGUCCACAAGUGUAGCAACCACCGCCGCUUCUCCUACACUCUCCAUGAUGUCUGAAAUUACAACGGCGACACAAUGGAGGACCUAAACCACCAGCACCACCAAAGUCUCUCUGUCUCUGAAACCUGGGUCCACCAGUAAACCUUCCACCUCUCCUUGGGCCUAUGACACUAAAUCCUCCACUGGAAGAACUCGAGCUCGCUCCACUUCUCUUGAAAUUCUGUGUCUUACGGGGACCCUAAGUGGAGAUACCUUUACCUCUGUCAUCUUUCCUCUGAUUAUCAUUCUUAUCUUCAUCUCACUAUUACUAGGGAGGUUUUCAGAAUCCUCCAUCCGAACCAAAAUCUCAAAAAACUCAUGGUAAGUGGUGCAAGGAAUCGCACUAGCAAACGUUCGCCAUUUCCUCUUAGUUCCCAGCUUAAAACGGCAAAGCAUCUCUACCUGAUUACCAGCUAUAUCAGGAUCAUAGCGGGAUAAGUCUGUAAACUUCCUGUAAUACUCAUGCGCUGACAUAUUCUUUUGCUUCAAUUGAGUGAACUCCUGCUUCUUAUGAUCAAUGUACUCCGAGGGAACAAAUCUUUUCUUGAAAUCCUUUUUGAAUACUUCUCAAUCAGUUGCCGCUUCAGGUGACAUAAACUUAGUUUAAUUUACCCACCAAGUUGCUGGCUCUCGUCCUAAAAACCAAGUAGUGGUCUCGAUCCAUCUACUAGCAGGAAGAUUUCCUUGACUCUGCAUCACCUGAAAGGUCUUCUCAAUAUGGUUUAACCACUUUUCUGCCCCUUCAUGACCCUCAUUACCCAUGAAGCGGUCUAAUUACAGAUUAUACAUAGUCUCCAGGGAUGUUCUUUGAGGAGGAGGAGGACAGAUUGCAUUCUGAAAGGCAUGGGCCAUCGCUUCCCCUAAUUGAGUUAUGUCAGGGAAAUUAGGCUCAGAAGCACGACGUGAUUCCCUACGAGGCGGCAUAGUUCUGACAGAAGACACCAAAAGAUCAUUAGAGCAUUAACAAUUUAUACAGGACUGCAAACCUAGGCUCUGAUAAAAGAAUUACAAAGGAAUAAAAACCAACUACUAGCAGUAAUAUCCAACUAACAUGCUAGAGUGAGUUUAAGUGUGAAACACAUAUAUUCAGAGCAUAAGUACUAAGUUCAGUCAAGUAGGACCAUUACUAAAUUACAACACCCAAAGGUGAGUCCUACAUUUAUGUAGUCUGUCAGAACGCCGUGGGAAUCCUCGUGAGCCACCAACACUGCUAACUAGAACUUGGAGGGGCGCAAAACAAGAUUGAGUGGGUCAGUAAAAAAAAGCUUUUCGAAAGUAUUUCAAUUAAUAACACUUCUAACCCCUCGCUGUAAAACCUGUAUACUUUCCCAGAAAAAUAGUAUAUAUAACCAUAUAUAACAACAAUUAGCUUAAAUCACAAGUCUUUAACACUUUUCAAGAAAUAUGCCAUGCUAUGCUUCAAAACAUAAUAAGGAUGCAUCAAUAUAACAAAUGAAAUAAGGAAUCAACCGGAGACCCUGCAGCUGUCCUGUACGGUUAAUUCUAUAGCUUAAUAUCCAACCCAACCGGAUUCACCACUGUGACCUGUACGGCACUACUCUGCACAUAAAUCGGAACUACCUGAAGUAGUCUGUACGACAAGAAUGGUGUAAGAAUACGCUCUAGUGCUUUUCUCAUCAACAACUGUAUAAUAAUCUAAAGUCACCUACAAGUUGGAACCACCUUUAAUGGUUUGUACGACAUGUCGGAACCACCUCUAGUGAUCUGUAUGACAUGCACCUACGUGGAUCCAAGGUGAGCGUGUGGUGCGGGGUGAAUAAUAUAAGCACUAACACCAGGGGUGUAGGUUAUGAGCUCUCAACACAAUUCACAUUAUCAAUAAACCAUAUGAACAACAUAAAACUCACCUGAUACUCACAUGUGCGUCCACAGCACCAUUUCACAUAUAUGCAUCAAAUACUAAUUCAUAUAUUUCAUAUAUUAUGUAUGCAUGGCAUUUUAAAACAUACUUUCAUUUAAAUUCAAUUUUUGGGAAAAAUCAGUAGUAUAUAGGUAUAAACAGAAAAUAACUGCCCACUCACUGGUAAGUAGAAGGGUCAUAAACCCCGUGAUGCCCUUGAAUGCGCUCGUCCUCGUGAUAGGUCUCACCUAUAUGCGAAACAACUAUAAAAAUGUUAUUUUAAAGCACAUAACCGUCAAUAUGUAAUAACUUCUCAUACGAUGCUCAAAUUAGGUAUAUGAAUAUAUCACAGUGACCUACUCGACGUCCUGGACGACGAGGUAUUUUUAGAAAAAAAAUUUGGAUCUGUCCCGCGCCCCCACGCGUGUCAUCCCCUACCUUCAGUCGCCGGACUGGUUUUGCCGGCGAUGGAAAAGUUGCCGGUUUCUGGGAAAUUUUCAAACUUCUUAUUCUCCGUCAAUUCUCAACCAUUUUUUACGCAAUUUAUACCAAAAUGAAGCCCUAAGCAUGUAGAAUCACGAUGUACUAAUUUAAGGCUAAAAAAACACACGAAAUGUCACCGGAGAAAAUCCAAGAAAACCGGCCAACUUCGAACCCUACGAUCCCGACGUCCAAAACCUUCAAACUAAGUACUCUGAGCUUCCUUGGGACCUCACUAAGCUCCCUGUAGGCUUAGAAUUCCCUGAAAACCAACAUUUCACGUGUGCAUGAACAAUGACAUCAAACUGGGUUACAGUUUCGACGUGAUUUCGAGGGUUUCCAGUUCUAAAAAUAGUACCAAUCGAUUCAGGAGGUUG
This 7237-nucleotide long non-coding RNA is filed under the name Malus domestica (apple). RNAcentral describes it as "long non-coding RNA (MDOM_LNC003084)". The record is from RNAcentral. Lineage: Eukaryota; Viridiplantae; Streptophyta; Magnoliopsida; Rosales; Rosaceae.